CUACGGGGUGCACCAGUGGGGAAUAUUGGACAAUGGGGGAAACCCUGAUCCAGCAAUGCCGCGUGUGUGAAGAAGGCCUGCGGGUUGUAAAGCACUUUCGGUUGGGAGGACUGCUUCUAGCACUAAUAUUGUUGGAAGUUGACGUUACCUUCAGAAGAAGCACCGGCUAACUCCGUGCCAGCAGCCGCGGCAAUACGGAGGGUGCAAGCGUUAAUCGGAAUUACUGGGCGUAAAGCGCGCGUAGGCGGCUAGAUCAGUCGGGUGUGAAAGCCCCGGGCUUAACCUGGGAACUGCAUCCGAUACUGUCUAGCUUGAGUACAGGAGAGGAGAGUGGAAUUCCACGUGUAGCGGUGAAAUGCGUAGAUAUGUGGAGGAACACCAAUGGCGAAGGCAGCUCUCUGGCCUGAUACUGACGCUGAGGUGCGAAAGCGUGGGGAGCAAACAGGAUGAUACCCCCGUAGUC
This 463-nucleotide ribosomal RNA is filed under the name uncultured bacterium. Its description in RNAcentral is "partial 16S ribosomal RNA". It matches the Rfam family "Bacterial small subunit ribosomal RNA", at positions 339 to 795 of the family's 1533-position model. The record is from RNAcentral.